GCUAGAUUUAGUAAUCAAAUCGUAACCCGCGGUCGCGAGACGGAGUAAAGCCGAGCUUGAUCGAUGCCACGGUUAGUUACGGCACGAGUCCCAUCAUCAGUUAGCCUCGAAAAAACCGGAAGCAGGCAAAGGCAGCACUUAAAAUUACAAGUCUCAUGAAGUCAGACCUUGCUGCGAAUGCGAAGAUGGGUGUAAGGGACAAACUCUGGUUGCUCAUGGCUGUGGUGCUGCUCCUUCAAGAAUGUGUUCAACAUGCAAACUCCAACACCUGGAAGGGCAACCACGAAGGUGAGGAUCUUCCA
Long non-coding RNA from Oreochromis niloticus (Nile tilapia), 302 nucleotides. RefSeq lists it as uncharacterized. Lineage: Eukaryota; Metazoa; Chordata; Actinopteri; Cichliformes; Cichlidae. The transcript has 2 exons. The record is from RefSeq and is a predicted model, not a curated record.